RNAcentral lists this ribosomal RNA (739 nucleotides) under Henosepilachna griveaudi. RNAcentral's name for it is "partial 16S ribosomal RNA". The stretch from base 197 to 549 matches the Rfam family "Bacterial large subunit ribosomal RNA", at positions 2078 to 2643 of the family's 2925-position model. Lineage: Eukaryota; Metazoa; Arthropoda; Insecta; Coleoptera; Coccinellidae. The record is from RNAcentral.
CUCUUUUUGAUUAUAAUUUAAAGUUGGGCCUGCCCACUGAUUUUUGAAGGGCCGCAGUAUUUUGACUGUGCAAAGGUAGCAUAAUCAUUAGUUUUUUAAUUGAAAGCUUGUAUGAAUGGUUUGAUGAGAAAGUUUCUGUUUCAAUUUUAAUAUAUAGAAUUUUAUUUUUAAGUAAAAAAGCUUAAAUAAAUUUUAAAGACGAGAAGACCCUAUAGAGUUUAACUAAAUUUUAAAUUUAAAAUUUUAGAAUUUAAUAUUUUAAAUUUAAAUUAAGUUUUGUUGGGGUGACAAAAAAAUUAAAAAAACUUUUUUUUAAUUAAAACAAUAAUUUUUGAUUUAUUGAUCCAUAAAAAUGAUUAAAAGAUUAAAUUACCUUAGGGAUAACAGCGUAAUCUUUUUUGAAAGUUCUUAUUGAAAAAAGGGGUUGCGACCUCGAUGUUGGAUUAAAAUUAAUUUUUGGCGGAGAAGCUAAAAAAUUAGGUCUGUUCGACCUUUAAAAUUUUACAUGAUCUGAGUUUAAACCGGUGUGAGCCAGGUUGGUUUCUAUCUUAAAAUAAAGAAAAUAUUUUAGUACGAAAGGAUUAAAUAUUUUAUUUUAAAUAUUUAUUUUGAAUAAAAUUUUUAUUUUGGCAGAAUAGUGCGAAGGAUUUAGAAUCUUUUAAUGUAAUUAAUUACAAAUAAAAAUUGAUUUAAUUUUAAUAUUUUUAAAUUUUUUAAUUUUAUUUAUNNGNNUNUUNGU